AAACAAAUAUUAAAGGCAACGCCUGCCCAGUGAACAAUUAAACGGCCGCGGUAUCCUAACCGUGCAAAGGUAGCGCAAUCACUUGUCUAUUAAUUGUAGACCUGUAUGAAAGGCAAAAUGAGGGUUUAACUGUCUCUUAUAGUUAAUCUAUUAAACUGAUCUUUUAGUAAAAAAGCUAAAAUAAGACCAUAAGACCAGAAGACCCUGUGAAGCUUAAACCAAACCAUUAAACCCAAUAAUGAUUACUUUAGGUUGGGGCGACCAAGGAAAUAAAAACAACUUCCUAAAACCAAGCAAAUCUGCUUAUUAAUCAGGCCCACAAGCCAACCAACGACCCAGUAAAACUGACAACUGAACAAAGUUACUCCAGGGAUAACAGCGCUAUCUUCUUCAAGAGCCCAUAUCAAAAAGAAGGUUUACGACCUCGAUGUUGGAUCAGGACACCCCAAUGGUGUAACCGCUAUUAAAGGUUCGUUUGUUCAACGAUUAAUGUCCU
Molecule: ribosomal RNA, 496 nt
Filed under: Afronatrix anoscopus
Lineage: Eukaryota; Metazoa; Chordata; Lepidosauria; Squamata; Natricidae
Description: partial large subunit ribosomal RNA
Rfam family: Bacterial large subunit ribosomal RNA
Source: RNAcentral